RNAcentral lists this long non-coding RNA (463 nucleotides) under Brachypodium distachyon (stiff brome). RNAcentral describes it as "long non-coding RNA (BDIS_LNC003171)". Lineage: Eukaryota; Viridiplantae; Streptophyta; Magnoliopsida; Poales; Poaceae. The record is from RNAcentral.
AAGGCUUGAAAAGGUUGUAUUUCAUUUUAAACCUUAGAUUUUUCACCCAUUUGAGCUUUGAAUUUUAAACCUAUAGGGUUUAUCUAUAAAAAGGGGUUUGUUGCAUAAAUGAGCUACCCCAUAAUUUUUAGUAUUAAAUUUGGAGUUGAAAAACUAUUUUUAUUUAAAUAAUUAUAAAGCUCAAAAGGCAUUUAUAGGGCAAGACUAUUUUUAACUAUUUCAUUUUGAAGGGAAAUUAGUCCCAAAAGUUGAAUCAUAUUGUAAUAUGAUUUUACAAAUUUUCUGAAAUUUAUUUGAAUCAAUUUGAAGUUCAAAAUCAAAAGAUAUCGAAGAAAUCAGAAAAAGAAAAGGAAAGAACAAAAAAAAAGAGAAAACCGGACCGGCCCAGCCAUUUGGGCCGAACCAACCCCGUUCGGCCGCGCACCCGCACCCGAGCCGGCCCAACGCCUGCACGCGCCCGCAC